GAGGCGUGGCUUCCGGAGCUAACGCGUUAAAUCGACCGCCUGGGGAGUACGGCCGCAAGGUUAAAACUCAAAUGAAUUGACGGGGGCCCGCACAAGCGGUGGAGCAUGUGGUUUAAUUCGAUGCAACGCGAAGAACCUUACCUACUCUUGACAUCCACGGAACUUGCCAGAGAUGGCUUGGUGCCUUCGGGAACCGUGAGACAGGUGCUGCAUGGCUGUCGUCAGCUCGUGUUGUGAAAUGUUGGGUUAAGUCCCGCAACGAGCGCAACCCUUAUCCUUUGUUGCCAGCGGUUCGGCCGGGAACUCAAAGGAGACUGCCAGUGAUAAACUGGAGGAAGGUGGGGAUGACGUCAAGUCAUCAUGGCCCUUACGAGUAGGGCUACACACGUGCUACAAUGGCGUAUACAAAGAGAAGCGAACUUGCGAGAGUAAGCGGACCUCAUAAAGUACGUCGUAGUCCGGAUUGGAGUCUGCAACUCGACUCCAUGAAGUCGGAAUCGCUAGUAAUCGUAGAUCAGAAUGCUACGGUGAAUACGUUCCCGGGCCUUGUACACACCGCCCGUCACACCAUGGGAGUGGGUUGCAAAAGAAGUAGGUAGCUUAACCUUCGGGAGGGCGCUUACCACUUUGUGAUUCAUGACUGGGGUGAAGUCGUAACAGG
This 661-nucleotide ribosomal RNA is filed under the name Chania multitudinisentens. RNAcentral describes it as "bacterial SSU rRNA". It matches the Rfam family "Bacterial small subunit ribosomal RNA", at positions 834 to 1495 of the family's 1533-position model. The record is from RNAcentral. Lineage: Bacteria; Pseudomonadati; Pseudomonadota; Gammaproteobacteria; Enterobacterales; Yersiniaceae.